UUUUUAAAUUACUGUGCUAAGAUUUUUUAUGAUCUGGGUCCAGGGCACCUCUCCUUACUUGCUUUCUGAACUGUUUGCUGUUCUUUUGUUUUCUAUUCUGUCUCAAUAUCUUCAUUUUCAAACCAAACCCCUUCAGGGUCCAGCUCACAGACCACUUCUCCACAUAGCUUUUGCAGUGCCCAGCUGCAAUUACCUUUUCCUCCUCCACACGCCAUGCCUGUUAGCAGUGCCUGGGGGCUUGUGGGUCAUACUGUUGCUAACAACAAGACUUGAAAUAUUGAAUUCAACAGAGUUCUGUUCACUAAAGAUCGGCUCCAAAAUCAGACAGCAUCAGACCCAGAAUGGUUCAGAGAGCCACUGCGGGGAUGCCACAGGGCUGGGUAACAUCUGGAAACUGAGAAUGGGUGAGCAUAGAAAGAUACCUGCUUGGAUUAGGCUGGGAGGCUGUCUUACUUGAACCUGGCUGGAACCUGUCUUGAAUCCCAGUUACCUGUGAUUGGCUGAAAUUCAGCUACUUAUGAUAAGGGUAGGUUACAGUCUGCUUACAGUCAAGUUAGGUUACAGUUCACUAUUUAGGAGAAACCCUGAGGUCAAACAUAAAAUAUAAAAGGAGGUAGCUUCAGACCAAACCAAAUUUCUUUUAACAGUUCCUACAAGCAUCCUAUUAUUGAUGUAUAUAUAUAUAUGCAUGUUCUCCCAAUUAGAUCAGGUGCUGCAGGAAGACAGGGAAUUUAAUUUCCAAGUGACUGGCAGAAAAAGAGGUGUUUCUUAGACAUUUUUAAAUGUACACAAACCAGAGAAGAAGAAAAACCUAAGCGAUAGGGUACCCUAAUUAAACUAAGAGGCUGAAUCACCAUGUCCUCUCUGGUAAAAUCCUCAUGCUGGUUUCUUUUUUGUUUUUUUCUUAGAAUGGGCUGCCAUAUGCUUAGAAUGUUUUGGUAAUAAAUCCAGCUUGUACUUCCAGGAAAUCUUUUGGGGCUGAGUGCUGAGAUUCAUCAGAGUGGGGUCCCUUGGGUUUCCUGAACAAAGAUGGAGAUUUUCGCCAGAAUGCUGCCUCAUUCCUGUGUGACAGUCCAGCCCUUCAAUCCAGGCAGUUUGUCACCGACAGAAUUUUCAUUUUUGUUUCUGUAGAUGGCGCAAGCUGCACACGUUAAAAUCAAACAGGGCUAAAGACAGCCUUGCCCAGAAGUAAUUGAAUAUCCGUUGGCUUUUUAUUCUUUCUCUGAAGCUUCAUGCUUCUUAUUUAUUUAUCCUUUGAGAAUAUCCCUAAGCAAUGUUCCGGAGUUCUUGAACUAAGGCAGAUCAUUAAAACCAGGUCUUUUAACAGCAGAUCCAGUAUCUUUGGAUAAUUCUGGUUUUAAAGAAAAGAGAAUAUUCGUACUAAAAAAGCAUUCAUUAUUUAUAGUGAUUCUGAAUCGAUUACAAUGUAGGUUAAUUUAAAUCAUGUCUGAAUCAUGUCUGGUUAAAUACAGAAUCCUAAUUAUUAAUCUCCACGGCAGCAUGAAUAUUCCACCAUUUCAUAUUUUAUAUUUUAUGCUGACUCUUUCUGUAACCUCAUUAUACUUCUAAGUAAAAGCCCUGACAUCUCUCCACUUGCCUUUUCAAAGAUACUUUCAUAUUAUUAAGGUGAGGAUUUGAUAUUAUGCUUACGCCAAUAUUUUAUAUUUGAAAAAAUAAUUAUAUCAAGGAUUAAAGGUGAGCAUGUUGUGCUUUGCCUGUGAGUUCAAUCUGGCAGUGAGCUCAGUGUAACAGAGUGAAUAAAUCAGUAGUCUCUGCUUUUCAAGAUAGAUCCAUUCCCUGUGGUUACACAUACACGUGCCUGCACACACACGGAGAGCACGCAUUGUCCACGUGCAAGCGGUGAUCAGGAGAGUUGCACUGGACACAUGGAGAGGAGGACCGUGGCCAGUAUUCUGCAUGCGACACCGUGGGAGAAGAUGAGUGAGAUCAGGGAUGCUUUUGUCUGCAGGCUUACUCGCUUCAAGAACAAGCCACAGGGUCAGUGUGGGGACUUGCAACAAAGGCCACAGCCUAUGUGACUCUUGGAAGUCCUGAGAUUGGAUGAGAAGGACACCCACUGAAAUGUCGCCUGCUGAGAGCCCCAGCACAGGGUCACGUCAGAGGCUGUGCAUGGGGCAGCCUCCUCAGUGCAGCCCAGCAGAGGACAGCUGGACACUCUGCUCCCAGCCUUUGCUCGCCCAGGUCUCUAAAUGCACACAGCGCAUUCAUCCUGAGAACUUUGUUGUUAGAUAUUUUUGAUGCUUUUCCGGAAAUACCCUCAUCACCUCCCAUUGCAUUCGUUUCCGGAAAGGAUGUCAUCCGGAACGGAUCUCCUAGUAGGGGGAGUGUAUUUCCUUCCAGUUCCUCUAAGUAAGACAAUAAAAGAGAUAGAAUCAAGCUGCCUACAUACUUAGCUGAGUGAGGUCCUAAAAUUCAUCAGCAAAUAGGAUGACUUGAAAUCUGGAGCUGCAUCUCCUACCUAUGCUCCUUUCACACCGACAGGCACCUUUGUCAGCCGCUUGCGUGUCUGUGUUCUUCAGCAAAAAAUAAAUGAGGCUGUGCUUAAUCGAGUUCUCCUUGGAGCUAGCUGGCCCUGCAGGUUUUAAAAUUAGAUCCAGGUCCGAACUCGGAGCCUGCAUGGCUUGAUUCCUGCUUUCCAUUCUAGAUGAUGAAUGGAAUGGAUGAAUGGACCUCUGGGCACACUGCACAUGGCUUCAGGGGCUUGUCUACCACAGCUAUUGAUACUAUCAUGCCUGUUUAAUAAGAGAACUGUCUCUGUUCCAGCCUUAAUAAUAAACAUUUUGCUAGGGACUCAUGGACUCAGCUCAAUAAAGAUUCCACGGCCACACCUGUACAGUCAACAUGAUGGAGCUUUUGAGCCUUGUCCUUCAAAGAAACUCGAGUGGAAUUUAAGUCCAAACCCUUCCCAUGGAAAGGCAACCUACUCGUUGUCCGUUUACUGCUUAUUCUUAGUUCUAGCUUAGAAAUGCAGGCAUGGAGGCUUCCCCAGGCGUUCCCCAGUGUCAGGGCUACUGGUAGCCAGAGCUCAGGAAGAUCUUAACUUUCCUCUCAAGUGACCUGUCCAGAAAAAGGAAGGGAUUUUUUCAAGGUUAAUAGGUUUGUUAGUACCCAGUUGAAACAUACAGUCUAUAUUUUGAGGCUAUUUUCGGGGGAUGAAGUUGUCAAGUACUCAGAGCAGUCAAGCUUACCGCACACAGGAGCGUGGAGAUUGCAUAUUGGCUAUAAGCUGAAUGAUCAGGGCAGCGAGGAGGUAGUGUUCGCUUCCUCUGGCCAGGCUGUGGUUCUCAUGAGCCAGUGGGAGAGCAGGGCUUUGUUCCGAAGUCCUCGGACUAAUACCGUCUGUGAGCAAUGAGGUCUGCUAAUUUCAUCAGGAAACACUCACCUUACCAUUUCUGCAGGAGUCACGGAAGCUCGCAGAAUCUGGCAUCAGUAAACCGCUUUUAACACACUGGGUUUACUGUAACAGUUUAGGGCAAUUGUCAAUCCCAGUUAAUUUCAGAUGUGAGUGAACAUACAUCUUUAAAAUAAAAACCGGGGGAGAAAACAGUUUUUGUCCUUGUAUGUGUACGGGGACAGAGCAUGCAGAUUAACAUUCUGUGUUGUGUUUAGAAUUACACUCAUUCCUGGUGUGAUCCUGCCCGUCUAGUAAUCCUUUUGUAAUCGUUAUACAUUCAUUUAAUAAUGGUUACGAUAAGAAGGCAACUCGGAAAUAUUUGUGGGGACGAUUGUCUAUUAAUCAGCAUUUCUCUAGAAGUACACACUAAGAGUCUCUCUCCUUUCUGAUGAACGCACUGAGCAAAAGUGCCCAGAUGCUGAGUGAUUUUUGUUUCUGUCCACACUUGGGUUCUGUUAUCAAACCCCAGGGCUGAACAUACAAAUUGUUGUAAUCUUUUCAUGCAGACUGGAGGCUCCUAAGAAGUGAACAAGGUUUUCCCAGAAAUUUGUAAAAAUUAAAUGAUCUACAGAUGCAAGGAGGAGCGAAGAACAUGUCAACUUGUGCUCGCUCUCGCUGUCUCUCUCUCUCUCUCUCUCUCUCUCCCUCUCUCUCUCUCUCUCUCCCUCUCUCUCCUUCGUUUAUAUUCUGCCGACACAUUUCGGUUGAGUCAUAAUUACUCUGAGAACAGUUGCAGUUUUGUGAGCCUGUUCUGUUUUCGCCCAGAGACAGGUUUAGAAAACCUUCCCGGUCCCAUCAGCACCUCUGGUGUCUCCCUGUUCCCUGGAGCCUAUGUAGGAGCUGCUCCUGCCAUCGCAUCUACCAACCCACCUCUAGCCUUUGGAGACAGAAAAGCAGCUCCUAUGUCAAGAGGCUGGGCUCGCCCCCAGGCGCUUUCCAGGAGCAGGGAGUCGUUGCUGGCUGCAGAUGCGGCUGCUGUGGGUCCUCGCGUGGCCCCGCCUGGGAGCUGCGGAGUGCUCCAGGCUGAAGAAGCAGGUUUCUAAAGGAGUUUUGGAGAUCGCUUAUCUGUUCCUGUGGCUUCUAAUAGCUCUUUGCUUCACUCUAGUAAGAAGUUUCUCCUGCUACUUCAAGUUGCUAUUAAAAUAAAUGCACAGAGGCCACCCUUCACCUCUGCAAACGAGGAAAGAGAGAACAUUGAGACGCAGAGAAUUUCACUUUGCACUUAGAGCUUAUAAAGGUUUCAGGAAAGAACUCGGGAACCAAAAAGUCAACAGGACUCUAGGAACUGUCAACAUACUUGUAUAAAGAAGCAAACGCGUCUCCAUCACACAAAUGAGCAGGGCUAACACUUGUCUACAGAGAAAAGCUCUUCCAGCUGUUUGCCAAAGCACAGGUCCACGAGCCGCUUCAUCUGCCAUCUCCACAGACACGGCGUUAUUAAAGCCAUUCACCUCCUGGGAAUAUUUUCAAGAAAAUGUAUUCCCUCUUGGGAAA
Molecule: long non-coding RNA, 4909 nt
Organism: Cavia porcellus (domestic guinea pig)
Lineage: Eukaryota; Metazoa; Chordata; Mammalia; Rodentia; Caviidae
Exons: 2
Source: RefSeq, a predicted model, not a curated record